AUGAUGAUGGCACCACUGGACAGCAGGAAGCACUUAGUGUACUACAUUUGGAAUUCUUCAGGUUCCAUUUCUCUUGAACAGCUUCCUGGCCAAAUAGACACUGAGGCUAAUAAUGAGGAGU
Molecule: long non-coding RNA, 121 nt
Filed under: Phascolarctos cinereus (koala)
Lineage: Eukaryota; Metazoa; Chordata; Mammalia; Diprotodontia; Phascolarctidae
Description: lncRNA (ENSPCIG00000036161.1)
Source: RNAcentral